GACGAACGCUGGCGGCGUGCUUAACACAUGCAAGUCGAACGGAAAGGCCCUGCUUUUGUGGGGUGCUCGAGUGGCGAACGGGUGAGUAACACGUGAGUAACCUGCCCUUGACUUUGGGAUAACUUCAGGAAACUGGGGCUCAUACCGGAUAGGAGCUCCUGCUGCAUGGUGGGGGUUGGAAAGUUUCGGCGGUUGGGGAUGGACUCGCGGCUUAUCAGCUUGUGGGUGGGGUAGUGGCUUACCAAGGCUUUGACGGGUAGCCGGCCGGAGAGGGUGGCCGGCCACAUUGGGCCUGCGAUACGGCCCAGUCUCCUACGUGAGGCAGCAGUGGGGAAUAUUGCACAAUGGGCGGAAGCCUGAUGCAGCAACGCCGCGUGCGGGAUGACGGCCUUCGGGUUGUAAACCGCUUUCGCCUGUGACGAAGCGUGAGUGACGGUAAUGGGUAAAGAAGCACCGGCUAACUACGUG
This 468-nucleotide ribosomal RNA is filed under the name uncultured bacterium. RNAcentral describes it as "partial 16S ribosomal RNA". It matches the Rfam family "Bacterial small subunit ribosomal RNA", at positions 28 to 507 of the family's 1533-position model. The record is from RNAcentral.